Molecule: ribosomal RNA, 825 nt
Filed under: uncultured bacterium
Lineage: Bacteria
Description: bacterial SSU rRNA
Rfam family: Bacterial small subunit ribosomal RNA
Source: RNAcentral
AGAGUUUGAUCCUGGCUCAGAAUCAACGCUGGCGGCGUGCCUAACACAUGCAAGUCGAACGAGAAAGUGGAGCAAUCCAUGAGUAUAGUGGCGUACGGGUGAGUAACACGUGACUAACCUACCCUUGAGUGGGGGGUAACUUCGGGAAACCGAGGCUAAUACCGCAUAAUACCUUCGGGUCAAAGGAGUAAUUCGCUUAAGGAGGGGGUCGCGGCUGAUUAGCUAGUUGGUAGGGUAAUGGCCUACCAAGGCAAUGAUCAGUAUCCGGCCUGAGAGGGCGCACGGACACACUGGAACUGAAACACGGUCCAGACUCCUACGGGAGGCAGCAGUGGGGAAUUUUGCACAAUGGGGGAAACCCUGAUGCAGCAACGCCGCGUGGAGGAUGAAGUCCCUUGGGAUGUAAACUCCUUUCGACCGGGACGAUAAUGACGGUACCGGUAGAAGAAGCCCCGGCUAACUCUGUGCCAGCAGCCGCGGUAAUACAGAGGGGGCAAGCGUUGUUCGGAAUUAUUGGGCGUAAAGGGUGCGUAGGCGGUGCGGUAAGUCUUCUGUGAAAUCUCCGGGCUCAACUCGGAGCCUGCAGGAGAAACUGCCGUGCUUGAGUAUGGGAGAGGUGAGUGGAAUUCCUGGUGUAGCGGUGAAAUGCGUAGAUAUCAGGAGGAACACCUGUGGCGAAAGCGGCUCACUGGACCAUAACUGACGCUGAGGCACGAAAGCUAGGGGAGCAAACAGGAUUAGAUACCCUGGUAGUCCUAGCCCUAAACGAUGAUUGCUUGGUGUAGCAGUACCCAAUCCUGCUGUGCCGCAGCUAACGCGUUAAGC